This 377-nucleotide ribosomal RNA is filed under the name uncultured bacterium. Its description in RNAcentral is "bacterial SSU rRNA". It matches the Rfam family "Bacterial small subunit ribosomal RNA", at positions 521 to 896 of the family's 1533-position model. The record is from RNAcentral.
UAAGACGGACCAUCCAAACGUUAUUCGGAAUUACUGGGCUUAAAGGGUGCGUAGGCGGCGCGGAUAGUUCGGUGUGAAAUCCCUCGGCUUAACCGAGGAAUGGCGCUGAAUACUACCGUGCUCGAGGAAGACAGAGGUAAGCGGAACAGCGGGUGGAGCGGUGAAAUGCGUUGAUAUCCGCUGGAACACCGGUGGCGAAAGCGGCUUACUGGGUCUUUUCUGACGCUGAGGCACGAAAGCUAGGGUAGCGAACGGGAUUAGAUACCCCGGUAGUCCUAGCCGUAAACGAUGAGCACUUGACGGGAGACUCCUCCAUAGGUUUCCGGUCGUAGCGAAAGUGAUAAGUGCUCCGCCUGGGGAGUAUGGCCGCAAGGCUG